RNAcentral lists this ribosomal RNA (792 nucleotides) under Triticum aestivum (bread wheat). Its description in RNAcentral is "partial small subunit ribosomal RNA". The record is from RNAcentral. Lineage: Eukaryota; Viridiplantae; Streptophyta; Magnoliopsida; Poales; Poaceae.
AUGAGGAUUAUUUCCUGGAAUUGUCGCGGGAUUGGUGACCCCUCGACAGUUCGCGAGCUCAAAGAGCUCAUUCGGGAGUGUGCGCUGGAGGUUGUAUGUUUGCUUGAGACCCAGCUUUUUAAGCAGAGGGUGGAGGGGCUGACUAGUUUGCUUGGUUAUGAUGGUGGCUAUGCAGUUGGAAGCAGUGGGAGAAGUGGAGGUUUAGCUAUGUUUUGGAAGAAUCCAAUAAGUAUGCGGUUGCUGAACUACUCUAAAUACCACAUCGAUAUGAUUGUUUCAGAGCCAGGCAAAGAGGAAUGGAGACUUACUUGCUUCUAUGGAGAGGCAAACAGGAACUUGAGGCAAAACACAUGGGACAUGAUAACAUUUUUGAGGGGUGAAUCCACAUUACCAUGGGCUUGUAUUAGUGACUUCAAUGAGAUCCUUAGGAAGGAGGAGCAACUUGGCCCCAAUGAACGAGAUUCUGCUCAAAUGGCAGGUUUUCGGGAGGCAGUUGAUAUUUGUAAAUUAUGUGAUCUUGGGUAUGUUGGCAUUCACUGGAGUUGGGAGAAAAGGGUAGCCGGCGGACACUUCUGCCGGGUUCGGUUGGACAGGACGUUGGCAACUGCAAGCUGGAGCGCCCUAUUCCCUUUUGCGUCAGUGAGACACCUUGUCGCUGCAAAAUCAGAUCACUCGUCAAUAAUAUUGUUUAGUGAUUUGGACCCUGCUAAUAGGAGGAUUGCAUUGGAUCGGCCUUUUCGUUAUGAGCAGAUGUGGGAGACCCAUGAUGAAUAUUUUCCGAUGCUUGAGUAG